UGAGGAAUAUUGGGCAAUGGACGCAAGUCUGACCCAGCAACGCCGCGUGGAGGAUGAAGGUCUUUGGAUUGUAAACUCCUUUUGCAGGGGAAGAGUGAGGACGGUACCCUGAGAAUAAGUCACGGCUAACUACGUGCCAGCAGCCGCGGUAAUACGUAGGUGACGAGCGUUAUCCGGAUUUAUUGGGCGUAAAGCGCACGCAGGCGGCGCAACAAGUCUGACGUGAAAUCUCCCGGCUUAACUGGGAGCGGUCGUUGGAAACUGUUGUGCUUGAGGCGAUGAGAGGGGUGUGGAAUUCCCGGUGUAGUGGUGGAAUGCGUAGAUAUCGGGAGGAACAUCAGUGGCGAAAGCGGCACCCUGGCAUUAGCCUGACGCUCAGGUGCGAAAGCGUGGGGAGCGAACGG
RNAcentral lists this ribosomal RNA (404 nucleotides) under uncultured bacterium. RNAcentral's name for it is "bacterial SSU rRNA". It matches the Rfam family "Bacterial small subunit ribosomal RNA", at positions 355 to 775 of the family's 1533-position model. The record is from RNAcentral.